RNAcentral lists this ribosomal RNA (373 nucleotides) under uncultured prokaryote. RNAcentral's name for it is "bacterial SSU rRNA". It matches the Rfam family "Bacterial small subunit ribosomal RNA", at positions 524 to 896 of the family's 1533-position model. The record is from RNAcentral.
AACGUAGGAGGCGAGCGUUAUCCGGAUUUACUGGGCGUAAAGCGCAUGCAGGCGGCUUCGUUAGUCGGGUGUGAAAGCUCCUAGCUUAACUGGGAGAGGCCAUUCGAUACUGCGAGGCUUGAGGUUGGGAGAGGGGUGUGGAAUUCCCGGUGUAGUGGUGGAAUGCGUAGAUAUCGGGAGGAACACCUGUGGCGAAAGCGGCACCCUGGCCCACACCUGACGCUGAGGUGCGAAAGCGUGGGGAGUAAACAGGAUUAGAUACCCUGGUAAUCCACGCUGUAAACGAUGUCAACUGGGUGUCGGUAGCUUUACGCUAUCGGUGCCGAAGCAAACGCGUUAAGUUGACCGCCUGGGGACUACGGCCGCAAGGCUA